This 453-nucleotide ribosomal RNA is filed under the name uncultured bacterium. RNAcentral describes it as "bacterial SSU rRNA". It matches the Rfam family "Bacterial small subunit ribosomal RNA", at positions 28 to 524 of the family's 1533-position model. The record is from RNAcentral.
GAUGAACGCUGGCGGCGUGGAUAAGGCAUGCAAGUCGAGCGCCCCGCAAGGGGAGCGGCGAACGAGGUAGUAACACGUUGGUACGUACCCUAAAGUCAGGAAUAACUAGUCGAAAGAUUAGCUAAUACUUGAUAGUCUCUUCGGAGUAAAGAUUUAUCGCUUUAGGAACGGCCUGCGGAGUAUCAGCUAGUUGGUAAGGUAAUGGCUUACCAAGGCUAUGACGCUUAGAGGACCUGAGAGGGUGACCCUCACCGAUGGUACUGAGACACGGACCAUACACCUACGGGUGGCUGCAGUCGAGAAUCUUCCGCAAUGGGCGAAAGCCUGACGGAGCGACGCCGCGUGAUUGAUGAAGUCCCUCUGGGAUGUAAAGAUCUUUUAUGAGGGAGAAAGUUUAUUGAUAGUACCUCAUGAAUAAGGGGUUGCUAAACUCGUGCCAGCAGCCGCGGUAAU